RNAcentral lists this ribosomal RNA (210 nucleotides) under uncultured bacterium. Its description in RNAcentral is "partial 16S ribosomal RNA". It matches the Rfam family "Bacterial small subunit ribosomal RNA", at positions 568 to 774 of the family's 1533-position model. The record is from RNAcentral.
CGCGUAGGCGGCUUGCCAAGUCAGUGGUGAAAUCCUGCAGCUUAACUGCAGAAGUGCCUCUGAUACUGGCGAGCUAGAGGGAGGUAGGGGUAUGUGGAACUUCUGGUGGAGCGGUGAAAUGCGUUGAUAUCAGAAGGAACGCCGGUGGCGAAAGCGACGUACUGGACCUCUUCUGACGCUGAGGCGCGAAAGGCUAGGGGAAGGCAAACG